Molecule: ribosomal RNA, 403 nt
Filed under: uncultured bacterium
Lineage: Bacteria
Description: bacterial SSU rRNA
Rfam family: Bacterial small subunit ribosomal RNA
Source: RNAcentral
GGAAUAUUGGGCAAUGGGCGCAAGCCUGACCCAGCAACGCCGCGUGAAGGAAGAAGGCCUUCGGGUUGUAAACUUCUUUUAUCAGGGACGAAGAACGUGACGGUACCUGAUGAAUAAGCCACGGCUAACUACGUGCCAGCAGCCGCGGUAAUACGGAGGAUGCGAGCGUUAUCCGGAUUUAUUGGGUUUAAAGGGUGCGUAGGCGGCAUUUCAAGUCAGCGGUAAAAUUGCGGGGCUCAACCCCGUACAGCCGUUGAGACUGAGGAGCUAGAGACGGCGAGAGGUACGCGGAAUGCGCAGUGUAGCGGUGAAAUGCAUAGAUAUUGCGCAGAACUCCGAUUGCGAAGGCAGCGUACUGGCGCCGGACUGACGCUGAGGCACGAAAGCGUGGGGAUCGAACAGG